GAAUUGCGAUAAGUAAUGUGAAUUGCAGAAUUCAGUGAAUCAUCAAAUCUUUGAACGCACAUUGCGCUUUCUGGUACUCCGGAAAGCAUGCCUGUUUGAGAAUCGAUAAAUCAAUCACUCUAUUUUUGUGGUCAAACACAACUAUGGUGUGGAUAUGAGCUUUUUGCAUUGCAAUAGCUUUAAACAAAAUGUCAAUGGCCUCCUUUGAAAGGGAUGAGCUUGAGUGCAUGAAAAGUUUUCAACUUGAAUACAUUCAUAAGCUUGUUUUUUUUUCGAUUGAAGUCAGGGAUUCAACCAUUUAUCAAGGUCUUUUCAUUUUGAAUUGAUUUUGAACACUUGGUCUCAAAUCAGGUAGGAAAACCCGCUGAACUUAA
This 374-nucleotide unclassified non-coding RNA is filed under the name uncultured fungus. Its description in RNAcentral is "sequence contains ITS1". The stretch from base 1 to 105 matches the Rfam family "5.8S ribosomal RNA", at positions 50 to 154 of the family's 154-position model. Lineage: Eukaryota; Fungi. The record is from RNAcentral.